GACGGAGGGUGCAAGCGUUUUUCGGAAUCACUGGGCGUAAAGCGCGUGUAGGCGGUUUGAUAAGUCGAAUGUGAAAGCCCGAGGCUCAACCUCGGAAGUACAUUCGAAACUGUCAGGCUUGAGUACGGGAGAGGGAAGUGGAAUUCCUGGUGUAGAGGUGAAAUUCGUAGAUAUCAGGAGGAACACCGGUGGCGAAGGCGGCUUCCUGGACCGAUACUGACGCUGAGACGCGAAAGCGUGGGGAGCAAACAGG
RNAcentral lists this ribosomal RNA (253 nucleotides) under uncultured bacterium. RNAcentral describes it as "partial 16S ribosomal RNA". It matches the Rfam family "Bacterial small subunit ribosomal RNA", at positions 524 to 776 of the family's 1533-position model. The record is from RNAcentral.